This 739-nucleotide ribosomal RNA is filed under the name uncultured Actinomycetes bacterium. Its description in RNAcentral is "bacterial SSU rRNA". It matches the Rfam family "Bacterial small subunit ribosomal RNA", at positions 701 to 1440 of the family's 1533-position model. Lineage: Bacteria; Bacillati; Actinomycetota; Actinomycetes. The record is from RNAcentral.
GAGGAACACCAAUGGCGAAGGCACAUCUCUGGGCCGUAACUGACGCUGAGGAGCGAAAGCGUGGGGAGCGAACAGGAUUAGAUACCCUGGUAGUCCACGCCGUAAACGGUGGGUGCUAGUUGUGGGCCACAUUCCACGUGGUCCGUGACGAAGUUAACACAUUAAGCACCCCGCCUGGGGAGUACGGUCGCAAGACUAAAACUCAAAGGAAUUGACGGGGGCCCGCACAAGCGGCGGAGCAUGCGGAUUAAUUCGAUGCAACGCGAAGAACCUUACCAAGGCUUGACAUAUAGAGGAAACGUGCAGAAAUGUACGCCCCGCAAGGUCUCUAUACAGGUGGUGCAUGGUUGUCGUCAGCUCGUGUCGUGAGAUGUUGGGUUAAGUCCCGCAACGAGCGCAACCCUCGUCCUAUGUUGCCAGCACGUAAUGGUGGGAACUCAUGGGAGACUGCCGGGCUCAACUCGGAGGAAGGUGGGGAUGACGUCAAAUCAUCAUGCCCCUUAUGUCUUGGGCUGCACGCAUGCUACAAUGGCUGGUACAAACGGCUGCGAUACCGCAAGGUGGAGCGAAUCCGAUAAAGCCAGUCUCAGUUCGGAUUGGGGUCUGCAACUCGACCCCAUGAAGUCGGAGUUGCUAGUAAUCGUAGAUCAGCAACGCUACGGUGAUACGUUCCCGGGGCUUGUACACACCGCCCGUCACGUCACGAAAGUCGGUAACACCCGAAGUCAGUGGCCCAACC